Non-coding RNA from Schistosoma mattheei, 45 nucleotides. Lineage: Eukaryota; Metazoa; Platyhelminthes; Trematoda; Strigeidida; Schistosomatidae. The record is from Rfam.
AUCCAGCUGACGAAUCCCAAAUAGGGCGAAAUACACGUCCUGGAU